GUGGACUGUCAACAGUUUCUGCUUUUUCUGCAGGCUGGCGCUGAAUAGUAGAAACGUGCUAUCUUUUGUCGAAGUGGUGAUUAACAGGUACUCUGGAUUCCGUGCUGCUCACCCCGACCCCCAGAAGAACCAAGAAAACAGACCAGAGACAUCCUGCCAGAAGCAACAGCAGCACUGAUUACUUGUUAUGUAAUCAGACACCCUGGAAUGCAACACAAGAAAGACCAAGUUAACUUUGCAACCAAGUAUAUAUACACAUAUGUGUUAGCUGUACUAUACUGUAUAUACUAUAAAAACAAUCUGUCUUUGUUCAUGUUUGUUUUUUAUAAUACUGGGUUAUGUAAAUGACACUCCAUUAUGGGUGUGGCACUAUGGGUACUGUUUGUGUUGGGUUUACUAUGCUUUUUAAUAAGAUGACAACCAAGCUAUACACUGAGGGUUAUCUGUUUGUAUUUAUCAUCUCUGAUCCAAUUAAUCAAGAAUGGUAAAAAUACUACUACCGAAUCUUAUUCAUCAUUGCUUGUUGAAGUAUCUAGUAUGACUGGGAUGAACUGUAAAACCUGUUUCUCCCAUGAUACACACAAAAAACAAACAAAAAAAAAAGACAGCAAUUUUGUCCAGGUCUAGAAUAAGGAAAUGUUCUGUGAUACCAGAGCUCUGCUUACUCUUUUUUAUGAUUGGUAUGAAGAUGCAUAAUUAGCAACAACAGAUGAAUUAUACUAGUCAUUCUUAACUCCAUGAAUUUGUGAAACAUUACAUUAUUGUCACUAUUGAUCAGCUCACUGACAGGCGAAUUGUCAGCUAUAUGACUGGUACGAUAUAUUCAUUUUCUGACCAUCAUUGUCUUAUGAGCUAUUAUGCUGAAAAAACUAUAGUUUUAUCAAUAUUCAUGGUAUCUAUUUUAACAAUGCAUUACAACAUAAUUUUUUUUUUCUUUUUUUUAAACCGAAUGAAGAAGGGAGACAGAAUAAUAUUGCUUUAAUCUCUCUCACCCUAUUCACACGGCAAACUGAAAAAAAAAAAAAAAAAAAAAAACAUAAAGCUCAGAAAACCCCCAGAUUCAUGUUUGUCUCCCCGUGAAUGAACUCCACCGGCUUCCAUUUUCAACCAAAAAAAAAUGUACUUUUAGUGAACAGCCUCCAGUGGGAACAGGUCUUAUCAAGAAAAGAAAAAACGCUUCCAAAAAAAACAGCUUUGCUUAAAUAACUCCCAGUAGACAGUUUUAAAUUCUGAAUGUUUUGUUUUGUGUGAUUAAUUAAAAUUCAUGACUUUACUGUGAGAUAUUUAUGUGUGAUAGACUAAAAUAAAUAAAUAAAAAAAAACUGAAGAAUCUCAAGGUAAAACUGCGUCAAGGAGACAAACAUUUCACAAUUGCCUUCAUCUGUGACUAAAAGUCUAGUUUUCUUUGUAAGCUAAAGCCUAAAAACAUUGCAUUUCUGCACUUCAGAAAAUGAAUUCUUUUCAGCAGUGAGAUGUUUGUACUGAAGAGGAAGUAGCCUGAUCGUUGCUAAGCAACAGCACCAGGCACCUGCACAAUACUCGGUUCCCUAAAAUUAGGAAGGUGUCAAAAUAAAGGGCUUUCAAGAACAGUGAGCUAACAUUUAAACACAGAAAGGGAUGCUUACACUUCAUGUUAUCAGUGAGUACCAAAGGUUGGGCCAGAGCUCAUUUGUAGAAGUCUUAUCAUAGGGGUUUGAAUUUAACAUUUAAAACAGCAAACAAGAACAGAGAAGCUUUGUGUAGGAUGAUGUCGCUGCCACUUCAAUCACUGGCCAUUUUUAUUGUUUUUUAUUCCCAGAAAAAAGUAUUUUGCAAUAAAUGGAGAGAAUAUUGGACCAUUGUU
Molecule: long non-coding RNA, 1843 nt
Organism: Polyodon spathula (Mississippi paddlefish)
Lineage: Eukaryota; Metazoa; Chordata; Actinopteri; Acipenseriformes; Polyodontidae
Exons: 3
Source: RefSeq, a predicted model, not a curated record